RNAcentral lists this ribosomal RNA (194 nucleotides) under uncultured bacterium. Its description in RNAcentral is "partial 16S ribosomal RNA". It matches the Rfam family "Bacterial small subunit ribosomal RNA", at positions 338 to 524 of the family's 1533-position model. The record is from RNAcentral.
CCUACGGGAGGCAGCAGUGGGGAAUUUUGGACAAUGGGGGCAACCCUGAUCCAGCAAUGCCGCGUGAGUGAAGAAGGCCUUCGGGUUGUAAAGCUCUUUUGUCGGGGAAGAAACGGUUNNNCNUAAUACANNNNACUAAUGACGGUACCCGAAGAAUAAGCACCGGCUAACUACGUGCCAGCAGCCGCGGUAAU